CAGUAGCCGCGGGAAUACAGAGGGUGCGAGCGUUAAUCGGAAUUACUGGGCGUAAAGCGUGCGCAGGCGGUUAUAUAAGACAGAUGUGAAAUCCCCGGGCUCAACCUGGGAACUGCAUUUGUGACUGUAUAGCUAGAGUACGGCAGAGGGGGAUGGAAUUCCGCGUGUAGCAGUGAAAUGCGUAGAUAUGCGGAGGAACACCGAUGGCGAAGGCAAUCCCCUGGGCCUGUACUGACGCUCAUGCACGAAAGCGUGGGGAGCAAACAGGAUUAGAUACCCCAGUAGUCCCUGUCUCUUAUAC
Molecule: ribosomal RNA, 301 nt
Filed under: uncultured bacterium
Lineage: Bacteria
Description: partial 16S ribosomal RNA
Rfam family: Bacterial small subunit ribosomal RNA
Source: RNAcentral